Molecule: ribosomal RNA, 824 nt
Filed under: Phaeococcomyces nigricans
Lineage: Eukaryota; Fungi; Ascomycota; Arthoniomycetes; Lichenostigmatales; Phaeococcomycetaceae
Description: LSU rRNA
Rfam family: Eukaryotic large subunit ribosomal RNA
Source: RNAcentral
GAGCAACAGGGAUGCCCUAGUAACGGCGAGUGAAGCGGCAACAGCUCAAAUUUGAAAUCUGGCGCAAGCCCGAGUUGUAAUUUGUAGAGGAUGCUUCGGCGUCGGCCCCGGUCUAAGUUCCUUGGAACAGGACGUCCUAGAGGGUGAGAACCCCGUCUUCGAUCGGGUCGCCGUCGCCAUGUGAAGCUCCUUCGACGAGUCGAGUUGUUUGGGAAUGCAGCUCUAAGCGGGAGGUAAAUUUCUUCUAAAGCUAAAUAACGGCCAGAGACCGAUAGCGCACAAGUAGAGUGAUCGAAAGAUGAAAAGCACUUUGGAAAGAGAGUUAAAAAGUACGUGAAAUUGUUGAAAGGGAAGCUCAAGCUGCCAGACUUGGCCGCGCCUCUUCGGUGGCGCGGGCAGGCCAGCAUCAGUUCGGGCCGCCUGAUAAAGACCUUUGGAAUGUAGCUCCCUCGGGAGUGUUAUAGCCUUGGGUGUAAUGGGGUGAGCCUGGACUGAGGAUCGCGUUCGCUAGGAUGCUGGCGUAAUGGCAGUUUGCGACCCGUCUUGAAACACGGACCAAGGAGUCUAACAUCUGUGCGAGUGUUUGGGUGUAAAACCCAUGCGCGUAAUGAAAGUGAACGGAGGUGGGAAGCGCAAGCUGCACCAUCGACCGAUCCUGAUGUCUUCGGAUGGAUUUGAGUAAGAGCAUAGCUGUUGGGACCCGAAAGAUGGUGAACUAUGCCUGAAUAGGGGUGAAGCCAGAGGAAACUCUGGUGGAGGCUCGCAGCGGUUCUGACGUGCAAAUCGAUCGUCAAAUUUGGGUAUAGGGGCGAAAGACUAAUCGA